GAAUGCUGACAUAAGUAACGAUAAAGCGGGUGAAAAGCCCGCUCGCCGGAAGACCAAGGGUUCCUGUCCAACGUUAAUCGGGGCAGGGUGAGUCGACCCCUAAGGCGAGGCCGAAAGGCGUAGUCGAUGGGAAACAGGUUAAUAUUCCUGUACUUGGUGUUACUGCGAAGGGGGGACGGAGAAGGCUAUGUUAGCCGGGCGACGGUUGUCCCGGUUUAAGCAUGUAGGCUGGUUGUCCAGGCAAAUCCGGAUAAUCAAGGCUGAGGUGUGAUGACGAGGCACUACGGUGCUGAAGUAACAAAUGCCCUGCUUCCAGGAAAAG
This 322-nucleotide ribosomal RNA is filed under the name Klebsiella pneumoniae. RNAcentral's name for it is "partial 23S ribosomal RNA". It matches the Rfam family "Bacterial large subunit ribosomal RNA", at positions 1292 to 1617 of the family's 2925-position model. The record is from RNAcentral. RNAcentral also lists the same sequence under 1 other name. Lineage: Bacteria; Pseudomonadati; Pseudomonadota; Gammaproteobacteria; Enterobacterales; Enterobacteriaceae.